GACGAACGCUGGCGGCGUGCCUAAUACAUGCAAGUAGAACGCUGAAGGAGGAGCUUGCUUCUCUGGAUGAGUUGCGAACGGGUGAGUAACGCGUAGGUAACCUGCCUGGUAGCGGGGGAUAACUAUUGGAAACGAUAGCUAAUACCGCAUAAUAGUAGAUGUUGCAUGACAUUUGCUUAAAAGGUGCAAUUGCAUCACUACCAGAUGGACCUGCGUUGUAUUAGCUAGUUGGUGGGGUAACGGCUCACCAAGGCGACGAUACAUAGCCGACCUGAGAGGGUGAUCGGCCACACUGGGACUGAGACACGGCCCAGACUCCUACGGGAGGCAGCAGGAGGGAAUCUUCGGCAAUGGACGGAAGUCUGACCGAGCAACGCCGCGGGAGUGAAGAAGGGUUUCGGAUCGUAAAGCUCUGUUGUAAGAGAAGAACGAGUGUGAGAGUGGAAAGUUCACACUGUGACGGUAUCUUACCAGAAAGGGACGGCUAACUACGUG
This 495-nucleotide ribosomal RNA is filed under the name uncultured bacterium. RNAcentral's name for it is "partial 16S ribosomal RNA". It matches the Rfam family "Bacterial small subunit ribosomal RNA", at positions 28 to 507 of the family's 1533-position model. The record is from RNAcentral.